GAUGAACGCUAGCGGGAGGCCUAACACAUGCAAGCCGAGCGGUAUAGAAUCUUCGGAUUUUAGAGAGCGGCGUACGGGUGCGGAACACGUGUGCAACCUACCUUUAUCUGGAGGAUAGCCUUUCGAAGGAAGAUUAAUACUCCAUAAUAUAUUGAUUGGCAUCAAUUAAUAUUGAAAGCUCCGGCGGAUAGAGAUGGGCACGCGCAAGAUUAGUUAGUUGGUGAGGUAACGGCUCACCAAGACGAUGAUCUUUAGGGGCCUGAGAGGUGAUCCCCGACACUGGUACUGAGACACGGACCAGACUCCUACGGGAGGCAGCAGUGAGGAAUAUUGGACAAUGGGU
This 343-nucleotide ribosomal RNA is filed under the name uncultured bacterium. RNAcentral describes it as "bacterial SSU rRNA". It matches the Rfam family "Bacterial small subunit ribosomal RNA", at positions 28 to 376 of the family's 1533-position model. The record is from RNAcentral.